AUUGAACGCUGGCGGCAUGCUUUACACAUGCAAGUCGAACGGCAGCGGGGAGGAGCUUGCUUCUCUGCCGGCGAGUGGCGAACGGGUGAGUAAUACAUCGGAACGUGUCGAGAAGAGGGGGAUAACCACCCGAAAGGGUGGCUAAUACCGCAUAAAUUCUGAGGAAGAAAGCUGGGGACCUAGGAAUAGGCCUAGCGCUUUUUGAGCGGCCGAUGUCGGAUUAGCUAGUUGGUGAGGUAAAGGCUCACAAAGGCGAAGAUCUGUAGCGGGUCUGAGAGGAUGAUCCGCCACACUGGGACUGAGACACGGCCCAGACUCCUACGGGAGGCAGCAGUGGGGAAUUUUGGACAAUGGGGGCAACCCUGAUCCAGCCAUGCCGCGUGUAUGAAGAAGGCCUUAGGGUUGUAAAGUACUUUUGUUAGGGAAGAAAAGUCAGCUGUGAAUAAUGGCUGAUACUGACGGUACCUAAAGAAUAAGCACCGGCUAACUACGUG
Molecule: ribosomal RNA, 494 nt
Filed under: uncultured bacterium
Lineage: Bacteria
Description: partial 16S ribosomal RNA
Rfam family: Bacterial small subunit ribosomal RNA
Source: RNAcentral